UAUGGUGUAUUCAAGUGUUUGUCUCAACAGUGCGGCGUAUAAGUGCAUUUGAUUCAGAUUUAUAGUGAUCGCAAUUUCUGCGGUCCCUUUUACCGAGCAAAAUAAUGUUUUCCAAGAGUCCCACUGAGGUAAUGUAGGCUAACGAAAAAGCUAAACAUCAAGAGGAGAGGAAUCGUAGUCCUUCUAAAAGCAGUGAAAGGCAUUAGCUUUCCAGGUGUAAUAUGGAUCAUAAAAUGAAGACCGUGUCGGCCCCAAACAUGACCAGGAAGAGGAAAGCAUCAAGGCCGAAACAGAAAGGCAAGACACAAGGAGCUUCAGAGGUCUUGGAGACGGGCAGUAAAACAAGCGGAGACAAAAACUCCAGGGUAA
Conger conger (European conger) is the source of this 369-nucleotide long non-coding RNA. RefSeq lists it as uncharacterized. The record is from RefSeq and is a predicted model, not a curated record. The transcript has 3 exons. NCBI's taxonomy places the organism in Eukaryota, Metazoa, Chordata, Actinopteri, Anguilliformes, Congridae.